CCAGACUCCUACGGGAGGCAGCAGUGGGGAAUAUUGGGCAAUGGAGGCAACUCUUACCCAGCAAUGCCGCGUGAAUGAAGAAGGUCUUCGGAUUGUAAAGUUCUUUAAUUGGGGACGAAAAAAAUGACGGUACCCAAGGAAUAAGCCCCGGCUAACUACGUGCCAGCAGCCGCGGUAAUACGUAGGGGGCAAGCGUUAUCCGGAUUUACUGGGUGUAAAGGGAGCGCAGACGGCAGUGCAAGUCUGGAGUGAAAGCCCGGGGCCCAACCCCGGAACUGCUCUGGAAACUGUGCGGCUAGAGUACUGGAGGGGCAGGCGGAAUUCCUAGUGUAGCGGUGAAAUGCGUAGAUAUUAGGAGGAACACCAGUGGCGAAGGCGGCCUGCUGGACAGUAACUGACGUUGAGGCUCGAAAGCGUGGGGAGCAAACAGGAUUAGAUACCCCCGUA
RNAcentral lists this ribosomal RNA (447 nucleotides) under uncultured bacterium. RNAcentral describes it as "partial 16S ribosomal RNA". It matches the Rfam family "Bacterial small subunit ribosomal RNA", at positions 331 to 792 of the family's 1533-position model. The record is from RNAcentral.